Cyprinus carpio carpio is the source of this 2289-nucleotide long non-coding RNA. The record is from Ensembl. NCBI's taxonomy places the organism in Eukaryota, Metazoa, Chordata, Actinopteri, Cypriniformes, Cyprinidae.
AUGAGCAAAACAUGGGUUCUGGUGGAAUGGAGGGAGGAGCCUCCCACCUAUGAUAUUGUCCCUAAAAAGGACAUACUAAAAAAAAAGUUUGAACCUGGAGAUGUUGUGGAUGUGGCUUAUGAAGAGGAAAGUUCCCCAGCCACAGUUAUAGAUAUUGAUGAGAGCAAAGAUACCCUCAGGAGGAGGAUGUUUAGGCUAGAGGGGAAAAGAAAAAAUCAGCCAUGUUUGCAAAAUGAUGCAAAAAGAGUAGCAAAGAAAAAAAAACGUACACUCCAACUCAGUCCCCAUCUCACUCCAAAACGUCCUCAUCAUCUGAUCAAGAGCCUCCAGUCAAACAUCAAGUAAUACCUACAUCUUUUAAAUGGCUACUCUUAUUUUUCAUUAUGCUUAUUUAAAUCACAAAUAUUAAUGACACCGAUAUGACACUAAUGACACUAAUAUUGUGUGUCCAUCUUUAGGUCAUCCACCGAAAGGACAGUAUGUUAAUGCAAGAGAUUAACAGCAUGGAGAGUCAAGCUGGAGAGCAUUCAAGCCGAGAAACUCAACUUGAGAGAGAAAUUCUCAAAUUAAAAAAAGAAAAUGAGAAUCUAAGAGCACUUAAUAUAGCUCUGCAACAAGGUAUUCUUUUUUUCUUCAUGUAUUUGUCUAUCCAUCUAUAUAUUAAUUUAUCAGUCAGUGUGGUUGUCUGUUAGUAAUCAUUUAUUUUGUAUUUUUUAAGAAAUUCUUCCAAUGCUCAAGUGCAGCAUGAACCAGGACACUCUUGUUGCUCAACAACCACAAGUUGCUCAACAACCACAAGAUUCAAGUCAGAAGAAUCCCCCUGAAAAGGUGAAUACAAAUAUAUUAGUUUGUUUAAAUAGCCUAUAUUCACGUAAAGUGUUGUGCAGAAGUCGUAGAAGGCAUGUUAACUUCUUCAUGUUUCAUUUUACAUUUGGAACAAAAUACACAUUUGGUAAGAUCACCCCCUUGACUAUGAAACAGCUGGCACACUAAACCAAAAUAUAUCACUUUUAUGUUGAAGAAUCUAACAAGCCUAACACUUUUGCACAGUAUGUAGUCAAAGUUAUAUGCUUUUAGAUACAGUGUCCCUAACCUUUUUCUUGACAGACACGGGCUAGGAAUUAGUUCAGCUGUCCUGACAAGUUGUGGACGGGGGGGGCACAUCAUGUUCUGCCAUGGUGAAAGAUCUGGCAGUGGCAGUGUUUGGGAGAGAGACACUGGCCACACAUGGGCUGUCUGGAAGGGCUGGCAAUGCUAACACAGGCGCUUUGGCAAAGCCAGCUCUUGACCAGGACAAAGUUGUGCUGAUCCUAGGUGAGAAAAAUGUCCUGCUUUUUUUCUUUACGCAAACAUGAUGUUGCAGUUAUAGUGCAAAAUUGUAAUAAUGUUAUCACAUAUGAUAAGUGGAAUUGCUUUUACAAAAACAGUACAAAAAAAGUUCCCUGAUGUUCCAAAAAAGUUCAUCAGGGCAACACUAAGAGAAAAGUUAAAUGAUAAGCACAAGUUACGAGUAAGGUAAUAAUUUGUCAUACACACAACACACUCGCUCAUGCGCUUUCUCUCUCUCUCUCACCUCACACACCCUCAUGCUCUCUCACACACAAACACAUACUCAUGCUCUCCCGCUCUCUCUCUCUCUCUCUCUCUCACACACACACACACACAGACACGUUAAUGAUCUCUCUUUCUCUAUCUCUCACACACACACACACACACACACACACAUACACACACACACACACACACACACACACACACACACACAAACAAAUUUUUAAAUUUCUCUUUUUUUCUUGUUUUUCAGGAAAACAGUGUAGAGGCUUCAUUUGGCUGUGAAUUGGUCUCUGCUUCGCUCUGCUCUUACAGUUUCAAUAAAUACAAUAAAUAAUUUGUGAAAAUACAUUGUUUGUUGUGAAGUUAUUCCCCCUGCAUUAAUCCUACAGAAGACAUAAGAAGACCUGUAUAAUUGCAUAUACAGGUCCUUCUCAAAAAAUUAGCAUAUUGUGAUAAAAGUUCAUUAUUUUCCAUAAUGUAAUGAUAAAAAUUAAACUUUCAUAUAUUUUAGAUUCAUUGCACACCAACUGAAAUAUUUCAGGUCUUUUUAUUGUUUUUAAUACUGAUGAUUUUUGGCAUACAGCUCAUGAAAACCCAAAAAUUCCUAUCUCAAAAAAUGAGCAUAUCAUGAAAAGGUUCUCUAAACGAGCUAUUAACCUAAUCAUCUGAAUCAACUAAUUAACUCUAAACACCUGCAAAAGAUUCCUGAGGCUUUUAAAAACUCCCAGCCUGGUU